Molecule: ribosomal RNA, 216 nt
Filed under: Glomeromycotina sp.
Lineage: Eukaryota; Fungi; Glomeromycota
Description: partial small subunit ribosomal RNA
Rfam family: Eukaryotic small subunit ribosomal RNA (bases 40-216)
Source: RNAcentral
GGGUCAGUAGGUUGGUCGUGCCACCGGUACGUACUGGUCUCACUGAUUCCUCCUUCCUGAAGAACCGUAAUGCCAUUAAUUUGGUGUUGCGGGGAAACAGGACUGUUACUUUGAAAAAAUUAGAGUGUUUAAAGCAAGCUAACGCUUGAAUACAUUAGCAUGGUAUAAUGAAAUAGGACGAUCGAUCCUAUUUUGUUGGUUUCUAGGAUUGACGUA